Long non-coding RNA from Rosa chinensis, 749 nucleotides. RefSeq lists it as uncharacterized. The record is from RefSeq and is a predicted model, not a curated record. The transcript has 2 exons. NCBI's taxonomy places the organism in Eukaryota, Viridiplantae, Streptophyta, Magnoliopsida, Rosales, Rosaceae.
CAGUUUGGGAUUGAUUUUGAAGGUGCUUCUGGACCUGCUUCUGCUUUUGAGUUUAUGUUAUGCUGUUUGGUAAAUUGUCUAGGAAGUGCUUUUGGUCCAAUUUGCUUCUCCUAGAAUCUGAAAUUGAGAAGCACCCAAGUACCAGCUUUGGGAAGCUGCUUCUGUCAAAACACGGAGUGAACGGUAUUGAUUAAAUGAAAGUUUCUCCUUUUUCCUAUUAUGUCCUCAUCUUUUCUAUAGGGUUUCGUUUAUUCCUUCUCUCUUCCCAGAUCUCUCUUCCCAGCCUCCUCCUCAAAACCAUCGGUUUCUAUAGAAAGCGAUCUCUCAAGAGGAUUCAAAACCCAAUAGAAAUCGAUCUCGCAAGAGGAUUCAAAACCCAAUUCUGUCGCUCCUCCGCCACACGCCCCAAACCCAAAGCAAAACAUCGAUCGAUCUCUCAAGAGGAUUCAAAACCCAACUCCGUCGCUCCUCCGCAGCACGCUCCAAACCCAAAGCAUUCCCGGAUCGAUCUCUCUGUCUCUUCAAAACCCAGCUCCUCAUCGAUGGUUUUUGGGACAUGAGUGCAAGAGAUCGAGGUCAUGCUGAAGAUCAAGUCUGAUAUAUGAUAGUGCAGCAGGAGGUAGUAGUGUGUACUUUUUAGUUCUCAUUUGGUUUCCUUUAAGAUAUGUUUACAGUACUUUUGUAAAUCGAUAAAUCAUGAAGUUUGUAGUUUUUCAUAAUUGAGACCUUAAUCCAUGUGCCUUGUACUA